AGUCGAGCGGAUGAAGGUAGCUUGCUACCGGAUUCAGCGGCGGACGGGUGAGUAAUGCUUAGGAAUCUGCCUAUUAGUGGGGGACAACGUUCCGAAAGGAGCGCUAAUACCGCAUACGUCCUACGGGAGAAAGCAGGGGACCUUUGGGCCUUGCGCUAAUAGAUGAGCCUAAGUCGGAUUAGCUAGUUGGUAGGGNUAAAGGCCUACCAAGGCGACGAUCUGUAGCGGGUCUGAGAGGAUGAUCCGCCACACUGNNACUGAGACACGGCCCAGACUCCUACGGGAGGCAGCAGUGGGGAAUAUUGGACAAUGGGGGGAACCCUGAUCCAGCCAUGCGCGUGUGUGAAGAAGGCCUUUUGGUUGUAAAGCACUUUAAGCGAGGAGGAGGCUACCUAGAUUAAUACUUUAGGAUAGUGGACGUUACUCGCAGAAUAAGCACCGGCUAACUCUGUGCCAGCAGCCGCGGUAAUACAGAGGGUGCGAGCGUUAAUCGGAUUUACUGGGCGUAAAGCGUGCGUAGGCGGCCAAUUAAGUCAAAUGUGAAAUCCCCGAGCUUAACUUGGGAAUUGCAUUCGAUACUGGUUGGCUAGAGUAUGGGAGAGGAUGGUAGAAUUCCAGGUGUAGCGGUGAAAUGCGUAGAGAUCUGNAGGAAUACCGAUGGCGAAGGCAGCCAUCUGGCCUAAUACUGACGCUGAGGUACGAAAGCAUGGGGAGCAAACAGGAUUAGAUACCCUGGUAGUCCAUGCCGUAAACGAUGUCUACUAGCCGUUGGGGCCCUGAGGCUUUAGUGGCGCAGCUAACGCGAUAAGUAGACCGCCUGGGGAGUACGGUCGCAAGACUAAAACUCAAAUGAAUUGACGGGGGCCCGCACAAGCGGUGGAGCAUGUGGUUUAAUUCGAUGCAACGUGAAGAGCCUUACCUGGCUUUG
RNAcentral lists this small RNA (928 nucleotides) under Acinetobacter radioresistens. RNAcentral's name for it is "bacterial SSU rRNA". It matches the Rfam family "Bacterial small subunit ribosomal RNA", at positions 60 to 983 of the family's 1533-position model. The record is from RNAcentral. Lineage: Bacteria; Pseudomonadati; Pseudomonadota; Gammaproteobacteria; Moraxellales; Moraxellaceae.